Molecule: ribosomal RNA, 515 nt
Filed under: uncultured archaeon
Lineage: Archaea
Description: bacterial SSU rRNA
Rfam family: Archaeal small subunit ribosomal RNA
Source: RNAcentral
AACCUUUACACUGCACGACAGUGCGAUAGGGGGACUCCGAGUGCGAGGGCAUAUAGUCCUCGCUUUUCUGUACCGUAAGGUGGUACAGGAACAAGGACUGGGCAAGACCGGUGCCAGCCGCCGCGGUAAUACCGGCAGCUCGAGUGAUGGCCGAUCUUAUUGGGCCUAAAGCGUCCGUAGCUGGCCGCACAAGUCCAUCGGAAAAUCCACCCGCUCAACGGGUGGGCGUCCGGUGGAAACUGUGUGGCUUGGGACCGGAAGGCGCGACGGGUACGUCCGGGGUAGGAGUGAAAUCCCGUAAUCCUGGACGGACCGCCGAUGGCGAAAGCACGUCGCGAGAACGGAUCCGACAGUGAGGGACGAAAGCUAGGGUCUCGAACCGGAUUAGAUACCCGGGUAGUCCUAGCCGUAAACAAUGCCUGCUAGGUGUGGCUCCCACUACGAGUGGGUGCUGUGCCGUAGGGAAGCCGCUAAGCAGGCCGCCUGGGAAGUACGUCCGCAAGGAUGAAACUUAA